AGUGAACGCUGGCGGUAGGCCUAACACAUGCAAGUCGAACGGCAGCACAGUAAGAGCUUGCUCUUACGGGUGGCGAGUGGCGGACGGGUGAGGAAUACAUCGGAAUCUACUUUUUCGUGGGGGAUAACGUAGGGAAACUUACGCUAAUACCUCAUACGACCUACGGGUGAAAGCAGGGGAUCUUCGGACCUUGCGCGAUUGAAUGAGCCGAUGUCGGAUUAGCUAGUUGGCGGGGUAAAGGCCCACCAAGGCGACGAUCCGUAGCUGGUCUGAGAGGAUGAUCAGCCACACUGGAACUGAGGCACGGUCCAGACUCCUACGGGAGGCAGCAGUGGGGAAUAUUGGACAAUGGGCGCAAGCCUGAUCCAGCCAUACCGCGUGGGUGAAGAAGGCCUUCGGGUUGUAAAGCCCUUUUGUUGGGAAAGAAAAGCAGCAGGUUAAUACCCCGCUGUUCUGACGGUACCCAAAGAAUAAGCACCGGCUAACUUCGUG
RNAcentral lists this ribosomal RNA (492 nucleotides) under uncultured bacterium. Its description in RNAcentral is "partial 16S ribosomal RNA". It matches the Rfam family "Bacterial small subunit ribosomal RNA", at positions 29 to 507 of the family's 1533-position model. The record is from RNAcentral.